GCGGGUAUAGGCUCAGUGGUAGAGCAGCAGCCUUCCAAGCUGAAUAUGCGGGUUCGAUUCCCGCUACCCGCUCCA
RNAcentral lists this transfer RNA (75 nucleotides) under Devosia algicola. RNAcentral's name for it is "Devosia sp. G20-9 tRNA-Gly". It matches the Rfam family "tRNA". Rfam says of the family: Transfer RNA (tRNA) molecules are approximately 80 nucleotides in length. Their secondary structure includes four short double-helical elements and three loops (D, anti-codon, and T loops). Lineage: Bacteria; Pseudomonadati; Pseudomonadota; Alphaproteobacteria; Hyphomicrobiales; Devosiaceae. The record is from RNAcentral.